UAGGGAAUCUUCGGCAAUGGACGGAAGUCUGACCGAGCAACGCCGCGUGAGUGAAGAAGGUUUUCGGAUCGUAAAGCUCUGUUGUAAGAGAAGAACGAGUGUGAGAGUGGAAAGUUCACACUGUGACGGUAUCUUACCAGAAAGGGACGGCUAACUACGUGCCAGCAGCCGCGGUAAUACGUAGGUCCCGAGCGUUGUCCGGAUUUAUUGGGCGUAAAGCGAGCGCAGGCGGUUAGAUAAGUCUGAAGUUAAAGGCUGUGGCUUAACCAUAGUAGGCUUUGGAAACUGUUUAACUUGAGUGCAAGAGGGGAGAGUGGAAUUCCAUGUGUAGCGGUGAAAUGCGUAGAUAUAUGGAGGAACACCGGUGGCGAAAGCGGCUCUCUGGCUUGUAACUGACGCUGAGGCUCGAAAGCGUGGGGAGCAAACAGGAUUAGAUACCCUGGUAGUCCACGCUGUAAACGAUGAGUGCUAGGUGUUAGACCCUUUCCGGGGUUUAGUGCCGUAGCUAACGCAUUAAGCACUCCGCCUGGGGAGUACGACCGCAAGGUU
Molecule: ribosomal RNA, 549 nt
Filed under: uncultured bacterium
Lineage: Bacteria
Description: bacterial SSU rRNA
Rfam family: Bacterial small subunit ribosomal RNA
Source: RNAcentral